CCUCCCGUAAGGGACAUCAGUACAGGUGGUGCAUGGCUGUCGUCAGCUCGUGUCGUGAGAUGUUGGGUUAAGUCCCGCAACGAGCGCAACCCUUAUUCUUAGUUGUUUCCCUUUGGGAUUACCCUCUAAGAAGACUGCCUCGGAUAACGGGGAGGAAGGUGGGGAUGACGUCAAGUCCGCAUGCUCCUUACGUCUAGGGCUACACACGUCCUACAAUGGGGUCGACAAUGGGAUGCAAUAUCGCAAGAUGGAGCCAAUCCCCAAACGGCCUCUCAGUUCGGAUUGUAGUCUGCAACUCGACUACAUGAAGUUGGAAUCGCUAGUAAUGGCAGAUCAGCAUGCUGCCGUGAAUACGUUCCCGGGUCUU
Molecule: ribosomal RNA, 367 nt
Filed under: uncultured bacterium
Lineage: Bacteria
Description: bacterial SSU rRNA
Rfam family: Bacterial small subunit ribosomal RNA
Source: RNAcentral